Molecule: non-coding RNA, 77 nt
Organism: Myotis lucifugus (little brown bat)
Lineage: Eukaryota; Metazoa; Chordata; Mammalia; Chiroptera; Vespertilionidae
Source: Rfam
GGUGGGGUGGGGGGACAGUCCCUCAGCCCAGAUUGCGAGAUGGUGCAGGCCAGGCCAAGGGACCCCACCAGUGUACG